AUAACAAAUACAUUGGUUGUAAUAGGGAACAAGUACCUUAACAAAAGAAGUCCAACAAUGAUUAUGUUCAAAGUCUUAAAAUGGCGCACCCAUAAAGACUCUGAUGAAUUUACUAACGAUAUUGCAUUGAUCUUCCCUGCUGGCUAUAUGGAACCCGAAUAUGGAGGUAUUGCAUUUCUGCCUCUCAACAAGGAACAGUUACAUGAGGGUACCCUGUGUCUAGUGUGCGGCUGGGGUCAUUCUCAUCACAUUAAUUGAUUGCCAUUCUAUACUUAAGUCUGCUUCACGUGAUACGAAUUCCCUGCAAGGAUUAUACGUACCGAUUAUCAAUGCCGAGACUUGUGACAAGCUUUUUCAUAUACCUGGUACCAUUUGCGCCGGACUUGAAACGAUGGCUGGGCCCAGCAUUGGUGAUUCAGGUGGACCCUUGAGAUGCGAUAAUAAACUGGCGGGUGUCGUCUCCUUGUGAUCAACUACGGGUGGUCCAAGCGUGUAUUCAAGUAUACAGUUUCAUGCGGAUUGGAUGAACAGGAAGAGUUUUUCUUCGUACAAUGGGAUAUUGUCGCUUCGAUCGUUUAGCAUCCAGAUAGAAGUUGUCUUGGCUUUCAUCAUCUAUGUGGCUUUUAGCUACUAGUUGGCUGACGCUUAAGACGUGAAAGUGUUUUAUUUGUAUUUAUGAUUUUGAUUCAAUCGGUUCUAUGUAACACGAUGCCAGGAAAAGUUGAAGUUUAGGUCAAAUUUGUUUACAUUCCGCUUGGAAACUGGGUCAUUGUGAGCGCGUGCAAGCGAGAUGGCAUAACAAUGUUGUUAUGCGAUUGUUCGCCGCUGGGACACAGCUUGAAAUCGCCAGCAACUCGAUGGCAACGUGGGGCAUGCCCCACCACCGGCGAUAACAACAACAAGCCCAAAGAUAAUAACAAAAAUCAAAACAAAACACAGCAAAAAAAUUGCUUAACGUUAAAAUGAUCUUACUAUUCCGAGGGAAAUAUUAAACAAAUAAAGUCC
Drosophila hydei is the source of this 1005-nucleotide RNA transcript. It is a transcript of the gene named trypsin-1-like, with no coding region annotated. The record is from RefSeq and is a predicted model, not a curated record. The transcript has 4 exons. NCBI's taxonomy places the organism in Eukaryota, Metazoa, Arthropoda, Insecta, Diptera, Drosophilidae.